CUCCUGGCUCCAAUAUCUCCAGAUUGGACUGCCUGCAAGUCUUGCUACUGUCUGUGGUGCUGGAGUGACUUUCUGCUUGAUUUUAAGGUGCAGGGCCUCCCGGCUACAGAAGAAGGUGCAUCAGUCACCAGUACAGACUGCGACUGAAAACUUCAGAUUCACAGCUUUGCAUCUGAACACUGAAACUGUAAUGGACAGUUAUGUCUCACCAGAGAAAAUCUAUCAGAAUUAUAAACCACAAACUACAUUUAUGAGCUAUUAACCAUGUAGGCACCAGCCAUCUAUACCGGCUCAACUAUUAAUUAUACUCAUAACUUGAACCUGUCCUCGAUCUAGCAAAUCUCAGGCCUUAUGCAUAGCAGGAUAGCAGAAUACUCUAAACUGACCAAGAAAAGCCUUUCUCCUUCCUGACAUGAAAAAAGAACAACAAAAAAAAAAAAAAAAAAAAAAAAGACGAUCUAUCUGGCAGAAAUACAGGAAUAAAAGUUUUGUUCUAGGUAGAUAGUUACA
Molecule: long non-coding RNA, 510 nt
Filed under: Chrysolophus pictus (golden pheasant)
Lineage: Eukaryota; Metazoa; Chordata; Aves; Galliformes; Phasianidae
Description: lncRNA (ENSCPIG00010001016.1)
Source: RNAcentral